UACGUAGGGUGCGAGCGUUGUCCGGAAUUACUGGGCGUAAAGAGCUCGUAGGUGGUUUGUCGCGUUGUUCGUGAAAUCCCACGGCUUAACUGUGGGCGUGCGGGCGAUACGGGCAGACUGGAGUACUGCAGGGGAGACUGGAAUUCCUGGUGUAGCGGUGAAAUGCGCAGAUAUCAGGAGGAACACCGGUGGCGAAGGCGGGUCUCUGGGCAACAACUGACGCUGAGGAGCGAAAGCGUGGGGAGCGAACAGG
Molecule: ribosomal RNA, 253 nt
Filed under: uncultured bacterium
Lineage: Bacteria
Description: partial 16S ribosomal RNA
Rfam family: Bacterial small subunit ribosomal RNA
Source: RNAcentral